RNAcentral lists this transfer RNA (58 nucleotides) under Fukomys damarensis (Damara mole-rat). It matches the Rfam family "tRNA", at positions 8 to 63 of the family's 71-position model. Rfam says of the family: Transfer RNA (tRNA) molecules are approximately 80 nucleotides in length. Their secondary structure includes four short double-helical elements and three loops (D, anti-codon, and T loops). The record is from Rfam by way of RNAcentral. Lineage: Eukaryota; Metazoa; Chordata; Mammalia; Rodentia; Bathyergidae.
UAGCUUAAUGGUUCCAGUGUCUGCCUUGCAAGCACAAGGUUCCAAGUUCGAUCCUUGG